Molecule: non-coding RNA, 52 nt
Organism: Ictidomys tridecemlineatus (thirteen-lined ground squirrel)
Lineage: Eukaryota; Metazoa; Chordata; Mammalia; Rodentia; Sciuridae
Source: Rfam
GUCUUAGUGUGAGUAUGUCCCAUGCAAUAUUUGGGAUAUACUUAUAUUAAAA